GAUGAACGCUGGCGGCGUGCUUAACACAUGCAAGUCGAACGAUGAAGCCCAGCUUGCUGGGUGGAUUAGUGGCGAACGGGUGAGUAACACGUGAGUAACCUGCCCUUAACUCUGGGAUAAGCCUGGGAAACUGGGUCUAAUACCGGAUAGGAGCGUCCACCGCAUGGGGGGUGUUGGAAAGAUUUGUCGGUUUUGGUUGGACUCGCGGCCUAUCAGCUUGUUGGUGAGGAACUGGCGCACCAAGGCGACGACGGGUAGCCGGCCUGGGAGGGCGACCGGCCCCACUGGGCUGCGGAAGGGGCCAGACUCCUACGGGAGGCAGCAGUGGGGAAUAUUGCACAAUGGGCGCAAGCCUGAUGCAGCGACGCCGCGUGUGGGAUGACGGCCUUCGGGUUGUAAACCUCUUUCAGUAGGGAAGAAGCGAAAGUGACGGUACCUGCAGAAGAAGCACCGGCUAACUACGUG
This 465-nucleotide ribosomal RNA is filed under the name uncultured bacterium. Its description in RNAcentral is "partial 16S ribosomal RNA". It matches the Rfam family "Bacterial small subunit ribosomal RNA", at positions 28 to 507 of the family's 1533-position model. The record is from RNAcentral.